UAAAUAUCUUCCUGUUUUUGUUUUUUACUGCGAGUGGUGGUCUGGAUUGUUUCAUUAAAUUGAGGUCAGCCUACAAAAGAGGACAAGGGCCAAGCUUAAAACAACCGUUUCUUUUGAGGCUCAUCCACUACACCGUGUUUUUGAUGAGCUCCGAAGUUCAUUCACUGAGCAAAUUAGGAUGUCUCGGUGUUCCACCGAGCGACUGAGAAGGUCUUUAGUGAAACUUAGGAUGCCUCGGUGUCAGGGGCGUGUCUAGGGGGUGGCCAGGGGUGGCACGUGCUACCCCUGGAAUCUGAUUGGCCACCCCAGGUGCCACCCCAUAUGCUAAACUAUGAUUGGCUAUCUGCCCACGGAGGCGGGAACGUUUGAAUUGUGUGACUACCGAACUUUCAUUUUCAACCGACAAGAAGACAUCAAGAAGACAUCAAGAGAUUGCGGCUACUCGCUCCUGAAAGAUGUGAGUAGCUAGAAUUAUUGAUAACAGUUACACAUAAUGAGUCAGUGGUUUAAAAAGUUUGAACUGUAAUAAGCUAAAACGUUUUUUGAUUUUCACGAUAUGUGGUGCAGGUCUGUCAUCAUCGCGACUGUCGACAGUGUCGACUGACUCAGCUUGCUGCCUAGCAAACCUGUCCAGGAUUCUUAGCUCCUGAAAGAUGUGAGUAGACUUAUUGAUACACAUGUGUGAAUGGUUUAAAAGCUAAAACGUUUUCCCAUCUUAUUUUAUUAUUUCCUGACUCAGCUUACUAGCAAACCUGUCGUCAUCAUUGUUUGGUUAUUGUCAACGAUGCUAACGCUAACGCUAAUGCUAACGCUAAUGCUAACGCUGAUGCUAACGCUAGCUAACUUAACGUUACAGUAUGUAAAUCUGUCUUGUAUCUCUUCUAACUUUGUAACAUUAGACCUGAGUAAGUUUUGCAUGUCACAUUCAUUCAUGCAUUCAUAAUUAGGCUAAAUGUAUUGUGCAAGAUAUAGUGACAUGCAUCAUGACAUGCGACUAUUACAGUAUGAAAAGAAAUCAGAACAUUCAGGGAUUCUUCAAAAGAAAGAAAUCCAAAACAACAGAGCAGGACAGAGCAGCAGAAGCCAGCAGUGCUAGUCAGUCUGAGGAUGAGAGCCAGCUUGACUCUGCUAGGGAUGUACAGCAGGAGCCUCCAGCUUCAGCUGUACACAUGGACUCAGACAAGGAUACUGGUGAUGAAGGCCCUUCAUCUUCACUUGCACAUCAGGGUAUGUAAUGUAUGCAUCUUUAUAAAACUAUCUGCUAUGACUUGAGAUGUUUCACUUUUGCUAUACUUAUAGUGGCUUAUACUGAGAUUCAGGGCAAAGCCCUAUUUUUAACAAUACAGGUGUGAAAAAGCUAAAUAUGACUAAUUUGACAUACAAAUAAAUUGAUACAACUGUUAAAAUCCCUAUAUUACUUCAGGUGUGUCAAGUCAGCCACUCUCUGACAAUGACACUGACACUGAGAACCAUCCAGCAGUACCUGCAGGCCAUGCAGUGACACGUGGGGAUGGUGAUGCAGCAGCCCUUGUGGCCCCACCUGGACCUCAUGAUAUUUCACAGUCAAGAGCAGCAGGUCCCUCUCAGCCUCGUUUAAAGGUUUUUCCAAGAACCCUCCAAGGUGAGAAGAGGAGGGCGUUCAAUCCAGUGUGGUUUAACCACAAUUCCUGGCUUGAAUACUCACAAAGCAAAGAUUCAGCCUACUGUUACGCAUGCAGACACUUCUCCCUGCCUGGCGCGUCAGAAUCUGUUUUCUCCUCAGAAUCAGGCUUUUCACACUGGAAAAAAGCAACGUACAAAGAUGCUGGCUUUAAGUUGCAUGAGAAAUCUGAGUCUCACAUUAAUGCCAUGUUUGCUUGGAAUGAGCACAAGAGGCUAUUGCUUACAGAUUCUUCUAUCUUAGAUAUGAUUAACAAAGAGUACAAAAAGAAAGUUGAAGAGAAUCGCAGUUACAUUAAAACAGUUGCAGAUGUACUGCUUUUGACAGCAACACAGAAUAUAGCACAAAGAGGUCACCGUGAAUCGGAAGAAUAUGACAACAAAGGGAAUUUCUUAGGAAUUCUAGAAAUGAUCGCUAAACACAAUCCUAUGGUAGCCCAAAAAAUGAAGGGACAACGCAAUGCAAAAUACACAAGCAAUACCAUACAGAAUGAAAUUCUGCAGUGCUUAGCAAGUAUGGUGCGUGAUGAGAUUGUGAAGGAAGUGAAGGAGAGUGUGGUAUUCUCUGUCAUUGCUGAUGAAACCAAAGAUC
Pseudoliparis swirei is the source of this 2251-nucleotide long non-coding RNA. RefSeq lists it as uncharacterized. Lineage: Eukaryota; Metazoa; Chordata; Actinopteri; Perciformes; Liparidae. The transcript is spliced from 3 exons. The record is from RefSeq and is a predicted model, not a curated record.